RNAcentral lists this ribosomal RNA (301 nucleotides) under uncultured bacterium. RNAcentral describes it as "partial 16S ribosomal RNA". It matches the Rfam family "Bacterial small subunit ribosomal RNA", at positions 509 to 809 of the family's 1533-position model. The record is from RNAcentral.
CAGUAGCCGCGGGAAUACGUAGGGCGCAAGCGUUGUCCGGAAUUAUUGGGCGUAAAGAGCUCGUAGGCGGUCUGUCGCGUCUGGUGUGAAAUCCCGAGGCUCAACCUCGGGCUUGCAUCGGGUACGGGCAGACUAGAGUGCGGUAGGGGAGACUGGAAUUCCUGGUGUAGCGGUGGAAUGCGCAGAUAUCAGGAGGAACACCGAUGGCGAAGGCAGGUCUCUGGGCCGCAACUGACGCUGAGGAGCGAAAGCAUGGGGAGCGAACAGGAUUAGAUACCCCCGUAGUCCCUGUCUCUUAUAU